CUCUGCAGUAAUACGUACACCAGCGUACAGUCUAUGUUACAAGUAAUACGUACACUGCAGGGUACAGUCUAUUACUAAUAUGUACACCAGUGUAAGUAUAGUUUAUCUCACAUCAGUGUACAGUCUGUCUCACAAGUAAUAUGUACACCAGUGUAAGUCUAGUGUAUCUCACGACAUCAGUGUACAAUCUGUUCUAACAAGUAACACCAGACAACUCACAUCUCACAAUCACAAGGCGUGUGCGCGCCUGGUGAGAACAAAUGUGUGUGUCCCAAACCGAUUGGUUGAAUCUAGUCUUUUCCGCUGCAAUCAAGAACACAAUGGACACUGGAUUUAACAACAAAUGGACCAAAAUAUUUAAGGUUGUUCAAAACAGUGACGCCUGCAGAUAUUGGAAAACAUUGGGUAGGUCCUUACGGCUGAGUUAUUCAGAUAUAAAUGCCAUCGAGCAUGACAAUCCUCUACAACUGAAGGAGCAGUGCUUUGAAAUGUUAAACCAAUGGACACAAGUCUUUGGCGCAGCAGCUUCACCAGAAGUAUUAAUUGACGCUCUGAGAAGUGAGAAUUUCAAUAAAACAGCAGCAAUGGACACUGGAUUUAACAACAAAUGGACCAAAAUAUUUAAGGUUGUUCAAAACAGUGACGCCUGCAGAUAUUGGAAAACAUUGGGUAGGUCCUUACGGCUGAGUAAUUCAGAUAUAAAUGCAAUCGAGCAUGACAAUCCUCUACAACUGAAGGAGCAGUGCUUUGAAAUGUUAAACCAAUGGACACAAGUCUUUGGCGCAGCGGCUUCACCAGAAGUAUUAAUUGACGCCUUGAGAAGCGAGAAUUUCAAUAAAACAGCAGAAGAUGUGAUGGAUUGCCUGGAAUGAUUUGCUUUAGGCAGCUGAUUCGGUUUGCAGGUUUUGAAAAACACCGCUCAAGGAAUUUCGGCCUCAUUCACACAGUCUCAUCAAACAUGUUUUCCAUGAAGCCAAACCUGGCUUUGUGGAAUAUGCCUCUGGGCCCUACUUUGUGACCAGCAGAUGACAGACAUUUCAGUCAGCCUCAUCUAGUCCAAAGCACAAUCAGGCAAUUCCAGAUGGUACACUUAUAAAGGGAUGGGUUGAAAACUUCAGGCGCAGAUUUAAUGAGUAAAUAGGUACACUUAUACAUCCCUAUUGGAUUGAUUAAAUAACGGCUCACGGGUUAAAAUUUCACAAUCUGGAUUUAAAUCUGCGUACACCCUUCUCAACAAGCGGAUAACUUGUAAUAUCAUCUUGGGAGACGCCGUACUAGCGCCGCACAGUAACUCAGGAGCCUCUCGCCAGUGCGAUCGUGGUGAAAAAAUAAUUUCUUUCAUAAUUUUUUCCGUCAUGAUACAGCUGACGGUCAAAUGAUCAUUUUGUCUUCUCGGAUACCUUUGGUCUAAUGUGGAUCUCAGAAUGUACAUAAACGUUAAAAUCUCCUUUGGGACCGGUAUCGGCUAUUUGGACGAUAUGGCAACAAUACUUUGAGGAAAAAAUGAAAAGUUCAACUCUAAAACACAUUUUAAAAUUAAAAUUUAUUUGAACUAUAAUGUGAUUUGCUCAACGUUAUAAGUUUUUAUUUGCUAGAAACAAUACAUUCCAAAUGCACUGGCAAAGGAACUCCAAAUGGAGCCAUAUGAGAAGUUGAACUUCAGUAUCAACGUACGACUAUUAGUAAACAAAGCAACUUUUCAUAGUUUUAUUUUCAAAAUAAACCAUCAUAAAUUUGAAUAAUUACAUUGUUAAAAUUUUCCUUUAAACGUUUACUGCAAAGUCUGCAGCUGAGCUGCACCCUAUUCAGUGAAGUUUCACUUCACAUAAAAGUAUAAGUUUACUGUUGUUAUAUAUUUAUUUAUUUAUUUAUUUGAUCGUUGUUUACGCCCUAAGUUAUGUUAUGUAAAGGUUUACAUUUAUUUUGGUAAAUUUUUACCGGUCAUGAGUAAAAUAUUUCUGAAACAUUUACUCAAAAAAUGCAGCCUAGAUUUGUAGCCCUCUUGAAUGCGUACAUAAUGUGGAUAUUUAAUAUACAUAAUUUAAAAAACACAGGCGUUUUACAUGGCCGAAUGUAAACAUUCAGCUGUUUGGGUGGAAGUGAAUGGAAUGCAGCUGUACCUGAAGAUCUACACGUGUACUGACUGCUGUACUAUAACAAUACUACUUAUAAGGUAUUUCAAGUAAAAAGUUCAUAUUAUAAAUGUGGAAUGUAUUCUGUGAAAGGUAAACAUUUAAACAAUAUGUAAAACAUAUAUUGUAAUGGCCGAACGUUCACUUAAAAAGUCUACAGUGUGUGCAUGUUAAACCAAACACAAACGGCAUCUGAUGGUCAGGAUGCCAGAGAUUUUCGUUCCGUGCGUCCUAUGAACGGGAGCGGUUGAAAAUCUGUACACAAUAUAGGUUUCUUUAAGAAAUAGUCCACAUCUUAAGGACCUUACUCUACAAUAAAUCACUUUGAAAACAUAAAAAAAUUAUUAUUUUAAAAAUGCACUAGCGUGUUUACCAUGCGGCGUUUAGUAAAAUAUUUAGGAACAGGUUAUUGUUUUCUAUGUAGGAAAUUCGCGAUUGUUAAUGAUAGCUUUCAAGACCUUGUCCAUGCAUUUCUGACUUAUGUAUUUAUCAGUCCUUUGCUACAUGUAGCCUACCUCCGAAUACUUGCUUUAAAAACUGGCAUUACAAUUUACAUGUAUGAAUCUAAUUUGUGGCUAAGUUUUGCUGUGAGACACUCUUACGAAGAAGGAAGAUCUGCCUCAGUUUAAACACUUCGUAUAGUUGUCAUGGUUGUGUUGCCCGUCAUGGUCAGGUAGGCAUACAUAUUCGUCACAUGUGUCAAACCAGGAAGGGAUUUCCUCAUUGUGGAAACGAGACGCUUUUGCCAGGAGAAUUCCCAAGCGAUUGCGCUCUUGCAAUCUUAAAGUUUGAAUGUAGCGCCACUGUCUGGAGAAUCUCUCAGUGAAUGAAACAGCGGCAAGUUGAGCAAUGGAGGUGGCCUCGGACCCCCAUUAAUUUUCCAUAAGCGACAAUGUUAACGUCUAGCACUGUAGCUCAGUCCCAAACAUUCCGUGGCCAACAAACUUUGGUGCAUACCUGGCCCAACCUGUGAGAAAGAAGCCAUAAAAAUCUUGACAUAGGUUGACCGUCAAAAUCUGAACCUUUCCAUGCCGGCAGCUGGGAGGCGUGCCUAGCAACGCCAAGGGGACGUCACUCGCAGCCUCAUCACUACCUCACACCUUGUGUCCUCUCACCCAGAAUUUCAAACUUUCAUCAAUAAAGCUCAUACCGCCUCAAAGUUUAGACAGUUUCCAGCAUUUUAAUACCAAGCAUGCACCUGUGCACCAAAAAUGGACGCCUGGGAGCAAAAAAAGACUUUAUACCCUAAAAUUCACAGAACUACAAUCGUCCCUACCGAAAAACGGAAGUUGUAAUGGGGGUCUGUGUCCAGGUAGUCAGUACUAUGUUGUCACACCAGGGGAGGUAACUAGGGUCUAGGCACUGAACUAGUUGCAAAGUCAAGUGUGCAGUCGUCAAGCAAGGUGCAUGCUGGUACAGUAAUCUGUCCGAUUUAUAAGAGAAGUGGUCUAACCGCGUGUCAGUUCCCCGUGAACAGCUCCUGUUUGAACGAAAACCUGUAUCCCUAAGACUGUGACUUUAUAUCCAGGACAAUGUCUGCAAACUUAGAUGUGAGCAAAAGUAUGCACGUGAAACUCUUCAUGACUAUCAAAGAGAACCUACGAAGUACAUCUCAGGAAUUUCAAGACUUCAAAAGGAUUAUUCCAUUGACACCACGGGAUAGAGAUCAAAACAGUGGCUCUGCUGAAGACUUAUUGGAAGUUUGGCAGAGACGGGGUGGAGUUUUCAUCGGCAAUUAUGACGAGCUAAUUAGAGUUCUACAUGAAGCUGGUCUUGAGGAACUCAAAACUAUUGUAAAAGAAAAGGUUGAGGCCAUUUAUCGGCAAAUAGAAUUAGAGAGACGAGCGGAGCGCAACCCGGUGGAACAUGCCCCUAACCCGCCAGAAUGAAAACGGUAAGACUGUUUUAAAAUUGCACUUUGUAAUUUCAGUGGCUUAAGUUCGUGCUAUACACCACGUAUACCGGUACCAACAUUAU
Molecule: RNA transcript, 4109 nt
Organism: Liolophura sinensis
Lineage: Eukaryota; Metazoa; Mollusca; Polyplacophora; Chitonida; Chitonidae
Exons: 5
Source: RefSeq, a predicted model, not a curated record